This 4054-nucleotide unclassified non-coding RNA is filed under the name Hevea brasiliensis (rubber tree). Lineage: Eukaryota; Viridiplantae; Streptophyta; Magnoliopsida; Malpighiales; Euphorbiaceae. The record is from RNAcentral.
GAAAAGAUGGGCGCUGGCAACAUGCUUGGUCCUCCUGGUAUUUCUACUUUAAACAAGAAUGCAAGCAUAAUUUCUUCAUUGUAAUACAUACCACACUAGUCAAGUAAUACACAGACAGAAGAGAAGUCAUCAGCUCUUUGUAAUUGCCAUUUAUAUAAAUUAUACCGGUCAACACAAUUGGGCAAGCAGUACAAAUGUUGAGCUGGGGAUCACAAUUUUCUUCAGCAACUACUUUUUUUAGUUCAAUGCAAGGCGAAAUAAAAUUGGUAAAUGAAGCUCGCGUAGAAAAGAAUGUGAAUGAAAUGAAUUUUUCAUAGUUGGCACCACCAGUGAAAUCCCAGUCCAGAUUUGUCUACAACCAUCUGCAAUUGGCAUCAUUUAUUGUGGAACAAUGAAUUCUCCUCUUGCAAUAGAAGAGUAAGUACUCUGCAUAUGGCGUACAUCCUUCUCAACACACCUCUUUGAUCCGGAAAAAUAAUUACAGGUUCACCACCAAAACACUAAUGAUACAGACAAGUCAACGUUGCAACAAUAACUCGCUAUCGAUUUUACAAUAUUACAUGAGUAAUGAUAUGACAACUAUUUGACAGACAAACCACCAUAAACUUAAGGAUUUAUGCUUACUUGGAAGUAGUUGCACCCAUUUACCUCACUCGUGGAGGUUGUUGACAUGCUCUACUUCCAUCCUGCCUUGGAUGAAGCGGAGAACGAUACUGCAAAGGUUGGUGGCUGUUUUGGUGGUUAGAACGAACUUUAGGUUCUCUUGGCCUCUCAUUACUUGCUUCAAUCCUUUCCAAUGUCUCUACAACUUCUUUCAUAGAUGGUCGAUGCUUGGGUUCAGAUUCAAUACAAUUUACAGCAAGCUGAGCAAUUCGGAAUGCUGCUUUUGAAGGAUAUUUCCCCUCUAACCGAGAGUCCAUAAUGCUCUUCAGCUUUCUUUUAUCAUAUAAAUAUGGUUUGAUCCAGUCAACCAGAUUAUGUCUCCCACUUGGACGGUUUGUAUCAAGUGCCCGCAAACCAGUCAAAAUCUCAACCAGGACAACCCCAAAACCAUACACAUCACUUUUUACAUAUAAAUGCCCUGUCGCAACAUACUCAGGAGCAGCAUAACCAUAUGUGCCCAUCACCCUUGUUGUCACAUGAGAUUGACUAGCAGAAGGCCCCAAUUUCGCCAAACCAAAAUCUGAAAUCUUGGCCGUGUAAGACUGCAACAAGACACAAGUUAAAAGAGAUAUUUGUCUUCCACUCACAUCUUCUAAAUGAAAAGCAUUUUAUCAACAAAUAUUUUAACCCUUAUCAUUGCUUCCAUGAAAGUAAUGAAGAGAGAGAGAGAGAGAGGAUGGAGCUAGAACAUUUCAGCCACAUUCAUCGUCUGAUUUACAGUGAAAAUCAUGACGAGCGAGUUGCUUGCUGCGGGUGUAAGAAGGAAAUAUCAGGUCCUAACUACAAUUGUGCCAAAUGUAGUUUCUUUCUUCAUAAGAGAUGUGCAGAGCUGCCCAGAGAGAUCAAGCAUCCCUUGCACAGCAAACACCCUCUUGCCCUCUUCAUGGCUUCAACAUAUCCUUCAGGACAAGGCGUGUGUGAUCUUUGCGACAAAUCUUUGGACAACUUGGUCUAUAAUUGUUCUCUGUGCCAAUUCGACCUCGACAUCCAAUGUGCCUUGCAGCCAUGCGUGACUGGUACAUCUGCAGGGAAUCGCGGUCAUCAAUUCAUUCACUUAAUCAGGUCAAUCCGUGUCCCAUUCACUUGCGAUGCAUGUGGUGUGGAAGGGACUCAAUCUCCUUAUUUAUGCACUGUGUGUCAAGUUAUGGUUCAUAAAAAAUGCAUUGAUCUGCCAAAAACUAUCAGAAUAACAGAGCAUGCACAUGUAAUUACCCACUUCUAUUUCCUUCAAGAAAGUAAUGAAUUGGCCCAAAUAUGUGGAAUUUGUCAUGCCCAAGUGGACAUAGACCAUGGGGGUUAUUAUUGUUCAGAUUGUGGAUAUGGUGUUCAUGUGAAUUGCGCCUUACAACAUAACAUAAGGGUUGAAGAUGAAGCUGAUCAAGAUCACAACCUAAAUAUUAACGCCCUCAAAGAUUCAUCCCUAGAGUCACAAGUUGCUAUGGGCGAGGAAGAAGUGGAAACAGAGAACAAACAUUUCAGUCAUGAACAUGGAUUAAGCAUCAUUGAUGAGGUUGGAGGCAACAAACGCUGUGAUGGGUGUAUGUUACCCCUGUCUGCUCCAAUCUACGGUUGUUCACAGUGUGAUAUGUUCCUUCACAAGGAAUGUUCUGAAUUACCUACCAAGAAGAAGCACCCACUUCAUCAACACUCGCUCAAUCUCCUCUCAAAGGCACAAACAGUUGAUGGCUUGUUCAAAUGUGAUGCUUGUGAUCAAUAUUGCCAUGGAUUUUGCUACCACUGUGACAAAUGUGAUUUCUUUAUUGAUGUUCGAUGCUCUGUCAUUACGGAAAACCUUAAACAUCAUGGACAUGAUCACCUCCUCCGCUUAGUCAAAGGCCAAAGAAGCUACGGUUCUUAUUGUAGUGCUUGUUAUUGUGGUAAGUUCACCUAUUUUGACUGCACUAAAUGUGACUUCUCGUUGGACUUUAGAUGUGCUAGUUUGCCAAGUUCGGUUAGUCACAGAUUUGAUGAGAAUCAUCCUCUUACACUGGACUACAAUUUUGUUAGUGGCAAAGACAUAGAGCAUUACUGUGCGAUUUGCGAGUGGAUAAUAGACCCGGGUUCCCAUAUCUUUGAUUGUGUACCCUGGUUCUAUGGGUGCAGGGAAUGCGAUAUUUCAAUUCAUCCUGAAUGUGUUCUUGGAAGGUACCCAUACAUCAAGUUUGGGGGUGCUUACUUGUAUGACAUUCACCCACAUCCGCUUACUUUAGUCCAAAAACCUUUCGUGAAAGUUCAAAGGAAAAAGCACUACCCUCCAUGUGAUUAUUGUGCUGAGCCCUUUUCUGUUGGUGAAAACAUUGGUGACCCCUGCCAGGACUUGGCUCUUCAGUGCAGCCAGUGUCCUUUCGUCAUCCAUAGGAAAAGUCCUUGUUUUACCCAAAAUGUACAAGAGAAAACUGCUAAUGCAUGAUUAUUUCUUCCUUUGUGCAUGAUUAGCUGUAACUUAUUCUUAAUGCCACUGGAUGCCAUAUAUUUAGUGCCCAAUCCUUCAGAACAAUACGUAGAUACACUUGUUAAUUACUUGGAAUUUAGAAGCCCCUUCAAAGCCUUUCAUCUUACAUUGCUGGAUUUGGAAACUGCCUAGGGGACAUAUCAUUGAUACAAGAAAACUACUACUUUUCACUGUUGCAAUUGCAAUGGAGAGAAUCACAUAAAUUAGGCCAAAUACAUGAUUUGAUAGAACGUUCUAUUAUGCACCUAAAUUUGAUAAAAAAAUCUCUAGCUUAUUUUCUGGCUUAUUCUUUGUCUUUUAGCCUUUCUCUUUUAAUAAAAUUAAGCUUAUCAAACAGAAAAAAUGCUGGUGAAUUAAGCUUAUUUUUUUGGCUUUUAGCCUUUCUCUUUUUAGCUGAAUACUCUCUAGAAGAAAGAACAAACGAAUAUAAGAAUUUUAUGUGAUUCGAGAAGUGUGCUUAUAUUUAGAGGAAUUACAUACUUUUUGCUAUAUGAAAAUGAAAAUAUUAUAACCCUAUUUAUAUUGACCUAAAUUAUUAUAUGCAAAAAGAUUUCUAAUAAAAAUAAGAUUUACAUAAUCUCUCCCAAUAAUAAAAAGAAUACCCAUUAGAAAUAAUAUAUCCAUUUCUUAAAAUAAUAACAUUAGAAAUUAAUUUUCUAAUAUUAAAAAUAAACUAAUUUAUUAGCAAUAAUUUUUUUUUUUAAUAUCUAGGGAUUAUGUAUAAUCUUUUUAUAUACAAUAUAUAUUUUUUUAUACAAUGGGAUUGAGGAUUCGAACCUGAUAAGUAGCCUUUAGUAUUAGACUAAAUUAAACUGGGCUUUUAUAUAUAAUAGAAGUGUUUUAAGAGUUAAAGGUAAUUUAUUACAUUAAAAAAAGUGAUUUAUGGAUGAUAAUAUUCAAUUUAUUUGUAAAAUUAUAUUUUUAAGAAGGAAAAAUUAU